Molecule: ribosomal RNA, 253 nt
Filed under: uncultured bacterium
Lineage: Bacteria
Description: partial 16S ribosomal RNA
Rfam family: Bacterial small subunit ribosomal RNA
Source: RNAcentral
UACAGAGGAUGCAAGCGUUAUCCGGAAUGAUUGGGCGUAAAGCGUCUGUAGGUGGCUUUUUAAGUCCGCCGUCAAAUCCCAGGGCUCAACUCUGGACAGGCGGUGGAAACUACCAAGCUGGAGUACGGUAGGGGCAGAGGGAAUUUCCGGUGGAGCGGUGAAAUGCGUAGAGAUCGUAAGGAAGACCAGUGGCGAAGGCGGGUCUCUGGGCCGAUACUGACGCUGAGACGCGAAAGCGUGGGGAGCGAACAGG